CUCAAUCUUUUGUAGACGAAGUUGGCCUCAAACAUAGAGAUCCACCUGCCACUGCCUCCAGAGGGAUGUAAUUAACUCUGCCUGCUGCUAUGGUAGGUAGGACAAAACAUUCUUCAUAUGAUUAAACAGUUCAUAUUAAAACCACCAUGAGACAUGAAUGCCCACCCACCAGAAUGCCUGAAGUUAAAGACCAACGAGAAAGGGCAAGUAGAACUCUUACACGUGUUUUUUUAUAAAAAACAAUCAUGUCAUUUCCAUCCUUGCUUCCCUCCUUCCUUCCUUUGUAAAAUAUGAAAUACUUCAUGAAUUUGUCAAAGGGACCAUGUUAAUCUUUUCCGUAUUGUUCCAAUUUUAGCAUGUGUGCUGCUGAAGCAACAAACACUAGGCAAUGUCUUGAACAUCCAUUCAUCAAUAAGUAUUUUACUUCUAGACUCUUAGCCAAGGAAAAUAAAAACACAUCUCUCCCGGUCUUAGCUAGAGUUUUACUGCUAUGAAGAGUCACCAUGACCAAGGCAAGCUUAUAAAGGACAUUUACUUGGGGCUGGCUCACAGGUUCAGAGGCUCAGUCCGUUAUUAUCAAAGUGAGAGCAUGGCAGCAUCCAGACAGACAUGGUGCAGGAGGAGCUGAGAGUUCUACAUCUUCAUCUGAAGGCUGCUAGCAGGAUACAGACUUCGAGGCAGCUAGGAUGAGGAUCUUAAAGCUUACAUCCACAGUGACACGCCUAUUCCAACAAGGCCACACCUCCAAAUAGUGCCACUCCCUCCACCAAGCAUAUUCAAACCAUGUCACUCCCCAACUAUAUGUAUAUUAAAGCCUUAUUCAUAGUACCUAGAAGCAUCUCAUGUAUCCAUCAACAGAUAAGUGGAUAAAGAGGACAUGGCUCAAUAACUCAAGGAAAUACUACUUACCAAUGAACGGAAACAAAGGUGAUGUUUGGAUAAUGUGAAUAGCUUUCAAGAUUAUGUGAAAAGAAGCCAGACGGAAGGAAAAAGAAAACGACUCAGCUCAGAAAAUGAAUAACUCAGAUUAAAUCAUUGGAAUUGCCUGGGACUGGGGCAGAGGGGACUCCUACACAGGCAUGGAAAGGUUUGGUAUGAUGGAAAUCUAUAUCUUUAUUGUAAUGGUAGAUAUAUGAACAUAUACAUCUGUCAGAUCUCUUCAAAGUGCACACUUAUAAUGUAUGUCUUCUAUUUUUUAAUAUGCUACUUUAACGCUGUUAGUUUUUUAAAAGCCAGUUUAUUAUCAAAGGGAAUUUGUAAUGCUUUCAAAUGUUGCAGGAUUAAAAAUCCAUAAUAUUAGUCAGUUGAGAGCAACUAGAUGUUUCUAGAAUAUAAAUUCAAUAGACUUGGGAGGUCUGGAAAUAAGACUAGCAAGUGGAAGAAAGGAAGAUUUUCUUGGUUUUACAGCAGGUAAAUAUGUCUUCUUCCACUUAAAGCCCUCCCUCCCUACACUGUGAGUUUUCCCACUGGCAGAAUGGGAGAAGUGUUCCCCAGCACGGUUUAAGCAAUUGUUCCUCCCCUUGUGUGGUGGUUAAUAAGCUUGGCCCAUUGGAAGUGACACUAUUAGGAGGUGUGGCCUUUUUGAAGGAGAUGUGUCUCUGUGGGUGUGGGCUUUGAGGUCCUAUGCUCAGUCUCUGCCCAGUGUAGAAGAGGGCCUCCUCCUAGCUGUCUGCAGAAGACAGUCUCCUUCUGCCUGUCCUCAGAGCAAGAGGUAGAACUCUCAGCUCCUUCUCCAGCACCAUGUCUGCCUGGAUGCUGCCAUGUUUCCUCACCAUGAUGUUCUUAGGCUGAGCCUCUGAGACUGUAAGCCAGCCCCAAUUAAACGUUGUCCUUUUGGUGUCUCUUCAUAGCGAUGGGACCCUAACUAGAUGCCUUUGCCUUUCCCUGGUAUUCCAGCACCACAAGCCAUUCACUUUCCUCUGUAGUUCUGGCUGGCCUUCAGAUUGCUCUGUAGCCUAUAUUGGCCUCAAACUCUCAAUCCUCCUGCCUCCACUUUCCUACUACUGUAAUUAGAAGUAUGUGCCACCAUGCCCAGCUAGCCACUACUUAUUGAUUUGGCUUCCUCCCCACCUUAAGUUCACCCACUGACUUUCAGUCUAGUAGCACCUGCAGACAUGUGUUUCCUAAGACUUUUACAAUAUAUGACAUUGAUCAAUAAUUAUAUUUUCCUAUUGGAUGUUUGUAUUAGUCAAUAUUCUCUAGCAUAGCAGAGAAUGAAUCUAUAUAUUGAGAGAAAGGGGAUUUAUUAGAAUGACUUACAGAGUGCUGUCCUGCUAAUCCAAUAAUGGCUGCCUAUGAAUGGAAGGUUCAAGAACUCGGUAAUUGCUCAGGCCAUAAGGCCGGGUAUCACAGCUGGUCUUCAGUAUAUGCUGAAACUCUAAAGUAGGCUCUAAUGCCAGUGAGGGAAUAGACUUGCUAGCAAGACAGGCGCAUGCAGGCAAUGAGGAAAAGCUUCCACGUUCUUAUACGAGCUUGUAGCAGAUAUACAACCCAGAUUAGAGGUAGAUUUUCCCAGCUCAAAUGAUCUGGAUUAUGUCUUCCCAACUCAAAGAGGAUCUUCCUACUUCAAAUGAAGCAAAUAAUUGUAAUCAGAUUGUAAUCAGAGAUAAUCAAGUUAACAACCAAGAAUAGCCAUUACAGUAUUUGGGGGGAGGAGCAGGGAGCUUCUGAGAAAUUUUUCCUUAUUUUUAUGCUAAGUUUCUCCCUGUUCCUUUGUCCAUUAUAAUAUUCCAGCAACUCAGUUAGGAUAUUCCCUCAAACUCUAUGCAAUAUGCCUUCUACUGCGUCUCGGUGCAGCAUGUCUCAAUUGUUAGCAUGCAUGUAAUUUGCCUUGGAACCUUAUUAAAAAGCAGAUUCUGAUUCGAUGGGCCUGAACUGGCAACUGCAGCCUUGCAUUCCUGAGAAAUUUCCAGCACACUACUGCUGGCCCAGUAAUGUACUAAGAAGCAGGACUCCAGAAGACAGGCUACAUCCAGGUUCAAACAUGCUCCAGCCCAGUGUGACAUGCUUGUCAACGACAGCUUAGAAAUCACAAAGAAAUAGUGCCUGAAUUUUAGGAUUGUUCCAAGCAUGGAUGCCUCCAGAGGUGCUUGCUAACAGCGAAUGCCCUAAUUGCUGCUCUUCUGUUUCUUAUGAUAUAUCAUCCCUGGUGUGUCGAAUGCUUCAUGUAUCUGUUUACCUGAUUGGACCCGAGUUCAUUGAAAUGAAGGACUGACUUUUCUUGACUGGGUGCUCACAACUGCUAACAAAGUAGAAGCAAUUCACGGCUUAUGACUGAAAUAAUCAAUCUUCAUCAAUUGUUUCAAAGUCUACAUGUCAGAUUAAGUUUGAGAUGCAGCCAAAAUUCUACUAAAACGUUUAUAUAAACUAAGUUGAUGAAAAUUGUUGGGGCGCAUGGGUUAUUAGCCGUGGGAACUUGAACAAAACUGAAAGAAUGGAUUCUGGAUCAGCAGCUAACAGUUUCAGCUGUACCCUGAUUAAUGGCUCCUCUAAAAUAGAAAAUUGAAUCAGGAUUUAGUUAUUUCAUCUGCAAAAGGUAAUUGAAACACAUAUUUAUGAAAUUAGAUGUGGAGAAGUGAGCUGCCACCACCCACUCAACUACAACAAGAAUUUUUCCACUUCUGAGACUGCAGAAGAGAAGAGAAAUUAAUAUGCAUGUAACACAUCUUCCUUCUCCAGCCUGCUGGCGCCUGUUGAACAGCCUGGGAAUUUUCUUUCUUGCUUCCCAAUAAUAGCAUGAACCAGCAAAGAUCUAACAGAACCAGAGGCCAAUGAGAGGUAAGGGAAUGUGGAUUACAUGUUAUAGUUUCUUCUUAAAAUGUCAAUUUUCAGGCCAUCACCACUUACAUGCAAAUAAAAGACACUUAUUUCUAAAGAAUGUAUAAUAAAUCCAGACAUGGUGGCACAUGCCUGCAAUCCUAGAGCUUGAGACGCUGAUGCAGAGGAAUCAGGAGUUUGGGCUCAGCCAGAGCUAGGCAGCAGGACAGAGGACAGAAUAACUCAGCUGCAGCAGGGCUCCCCUUCCCUGGUCACGCUGCAACGCCCUUCCUGCCCUUCCCAUCAGGACAUCAGCAGCAUUUCGGAAGUGCAAGUCCCAUGCACAAAUGCUCUCAAAUUCACGAUUGCCUUGGGCAUGCUGGGGUGUACGCUGCCAAUCUAACCCCACGCUGAAGGAAGCUCGGACUCGGCUUGCGUAUACAGCAGCCUUGUAUUUGUUACCUUCCUUGUCUGUCAAACAUACACCUAACAGAAGCCAGCGAAGGAGGGAGAAGUCUGCUGUGGCUCACAAUUCAGAAGAUUAAGUGCACCGUGACAGGGACUGAGUCUACCUAUAGGCUUGAGGCUUUUUACCGUGGGAGCUCAUAGGGUGGCCUGUUACUGGUGAAUAAGCGGAGAUAGUAGGCAGGAUCAGGCUAACACCCCAAGCUCCGCCUCCACGGAACUAUGUCUGCCAACUCGGCCCCACCCAAACCACUCCACAUCCUACUGAACAGCAACACUUGAAGCACAUGGGCCCAUGGGAGACAUCUACAUUUGAGCUUGGACAGGAGUAUUGACAAAAUAAUCUCAAACACAUGUUGAAACGACGUCUCUCCCUUUGGAAAGAAUUUCCAUCCUAACUCAAAACUGCACCGAACAUACUGAGUUCUAACAACAUCAACCAACCAGACCCGACCCACCCCACCCCACCCCAGAGCUCCCAGGGAGUAAGCCACCAACCAAGGAGUCACAUGGCUCCAGCUGCAUAUGUAGCAGAGGAUGGGCUUGGCAGGCAUCAAUGGGAGGAGAGGUCCUUGGUCCUAUGAAGGCUCUAUAGAUGCCCCAAUGUGGGGGAGGCAGGAAUGGGUGGGUGUGGAGGAAUACCCUCA
Molecule: long non-coding RNA, 4868 nt
Organism: Apodemus sylvaticus (European woodmouse)
Lineage: Eukaryota; Metazoa; Chordata; Mammalia; Rodentia; Muridae
Exons: 3
Source: RefSeq, a predicted model, not a curated record